RNAcentral lists this ribosomal RNA (253 nucleotides) under uncultured bacterium. Its description in RNAcentral is "partial 16S ribosomal RNA". It matches the Rfam family "Bacterial small subunit ribosomal RNA", at positions 524 to 776 of the family's 1533-position model. The record is from RNAcentral.
UACGUAGGGGGCAAGCGUUGUCCGGAAUCAUUGGGCGUAAAGAGCGUGUAGGCGGCCCGGUAAGUCCGCUGUGAAAGUCCAGGGCUCAACCCUGGAAUGCCGGUGGAAACUGUCGGGCUAGAGUCCGGAAGAGGCGAGUGGAAUUCCUGGUGCAGCGGUGAAAUGCGCAGAUAUCAGGAGGAACCCCAGAGGCGAAGGCGGCGCUCUGGCUCAGCCCUGACGCUCAGACACGACAGCAUGGGGAGCGAACGGG